GACGAACGCUGGCGGCGUGCUUAACACAUGCAAGUCGAACGGAAAGGCCCUGCUUUUGUGGGGUGCUCGAGUGGCGAACGGGUGAGUAACACGUGAGUAACCUGCCCUUGACUUUGGGAUAACUUCAGGAAACUGGGGCUAAUACCGGAUAGGAGCUCCUGCUGCAUGGUGGGGGUUGGAAAGUUUCGGCGGUUGGGGAUGGACUCGCGGCUUAUCAGCUUGUUGGUGGGGGAGUGGCUUACCAAGGCUUUGACGGGUAGCCGGCCUGAGAGGGUGACCGGCCACAUUGGGACUGAGAUACGGCCCAGACUCCUACGGGAGGCAGCAGUGGGGAAUAUUGCACAAUGGGCGGAAGCCUGAUGCAGCAACGCCGCGUGCGGGAUGACGGCCUUCGGGUUGUAAACCGCUUUCGCCUGUGACGAAGCGUGAGUGACGGUAAUGUGUAAAGAAGCACCGGCUAACUACGUG
RNAcentral lists this ribosomal RNA (468 nucleotides) under uncultured bacterium. Its description in RNAcentral is "partial 16S ribosomal RNA". It matches the Rfam family "Bacterial small subunit ribosomal RNA", at positions 28 to 507 of the family's 1533-position model. The record is from RNAcentral.